RNAcentral lists this ribosomal RNA (506 nucleotides) under uncultured bacterium. Its description in RNAcentral is "partial 16S ribosomal RNA". It matches the Rfam family "Bacterial small subunit ribosomal RNA", at positions 29 to 523 of the family's 1533-position model. The record is from RNAcentral.
AGUGAACGCUGGCGGUAGGCCUAACACAUGCAAGUCGAACGGCAGCACAGAGGAGCUUGCUCCUUGGGUGGCGAGUGGCGGACGGGUGAGGAAUACAUCGGAAUCUACUCUGUCGAGGGGGAUAACGUAGGGAAACUUACGCUAAUACCGCAUACGACCUACGGGUGAAAGCAGGGGAGCCUCGGGCCGUGCCCGAUUGAAUGAGCCGAUGUCGGAUGAGCUAGUUGGCGGGGUAAAGGCCCACCAAGGCGACGAUCCGUAGCUGGUCUGAGAGGAUGAUCAGCCACACUGGAACUGAGACACGGUCCAGACUCCUACAGGAGGCAGCAGUGGGGAAUAUUGGACAAUGGGCGCAAGCCUGAUCCAGCCAUACCGCGUGGGUGAAGAAGGCCUUCGGGUUGUAAAGCCCUUUUGUUGGGAAAGAAAUCCAGCUGGCUAAUACCCGGUUGGGAUGACGGUACCCAAAGAAUAAGCACCGGCUAACUUCGUGCCAGCAGCCGCGGUAA